CGAACAUAGCUCAGUUGGUAGAGCGGAGAACUGCAGGUUUACUUGCUAGUAUUCUUAAAUCACUGGUUCGAAUCCGGUUGGUUUGG
Molecule: transfer RNA, 86 nt
Filed under: Strongyloides venezuelensis
Lineage: Eukaryota; Metazoa; Nematoda; Chromadorea; Rhabditida; Strongyloididae
Rfam family: tRNA
About the family: Transfer RNA (tRNA) molecules are approximately 80 nucleotides in length.
Source: Rfam by way of RNAcentral